Molecule: small RNA, 540 nt
Filed under: Pongo abelii (Sumatran orangutan)
Lineage: Eukaryota; Metazoa; Chordata; Mammalia; Primates; Hominidae
Description: processed transcript
Source: RNAcentral
GCCGUGUGAUCCGUGGACAGAGGAAGGGCGCCGGGUCUGUGUUCCGCGCGCACGUGAAGCACCGUAAGGGCGCUGCGCGCCUGCGUGCCGUGGAUUUCGCUGAGCGGCACGGCUACAUCAAGGGCAUCGUCAAGGACAUCAUCCACGACCCGGGCCGCGGCGCUCCCCUCGCCAAGGUGGUCUUCCGGGAUCCGUACCGGUUAUCUCCUCAGCCAACAGAGCUGUGGUUGGUGUGGUGGCUGGAGGUGGCCGAAUUGACAAACCCAUCUUGAAGGCUGGCCGGGCGUACCACAAAUAUAAGGCAAAGAGAAACUGCUGGCCACGAGUGCGGGGUGUGGCCAUGAAUCCUGUGGAGCAUCCUUUUGGAGGUGGCAACCACCAGCACAUCGGCAAGCCCUCCACCAUCCGCAGAGAUGCCCCUGCUGGCCGCAAAGUGGGUCUCAUUGCUGCCCGCCGGACUGGACGUCUCCGGGGAACCAAGACUGUGCAGGAGAAAGAGAACUAGUGCUGAGGGCCUCAAUAAAGUUUGUGUUUAUGCCA